Molecule: long non-coding RNA, 677 nt
Organism: Passer domesticus (house sparrow)
Lineage: Eukaryota; Metazoa; Chordata; Aves; Passeriformes; Passeridae
Exons: 4
Source: RefSeq, a predicted model, not a curated record
AUGGAAUCAAAAGAUGGAAUUCUAGGAGCAGAGUGACUGAUCCAGAGCUAAAUUAAAGAACAGAGCUGGUGCUGAAGACAACACUGGGAGCAUCUCAGGUGGUGUUGGACAUGGUGUUGGUGUUUGGGAAAGGGAAUAAAGGCCUUCGAUCACCCAUGACCAGCUCGGAGAAAAGGAAAAUGACCUUCCCUUUAAAAAAGCUGGAAGGUUUAAAAUUGUUCCAGCAUUUUGAAGGUCUGACCAUGCCCUCAGUCACACUGGGAAGAUGGAGCAGUAAUCAUAUGAUUUUUUUUCACUUACAUAUUCCACAUAAUGAAGGAAAACCAAGGUGAAUUCAACCCAGGUCUACAAAUGAGCAGAGAGUGCAAGUUUCAAGGAGAAAAUGCUGCUUUCUGUGAAAAAGGAAUGACUCAGCACAUCGGAGGCAGACAGAAAGAAAGACAGAUAAUAUGGGGGAAAUCAGAUGUGUCAGCUUUGGCUGACAGAGACUGGAAUAUUUCUCUGUCCUAAAUCAGUCAAAUUUUUGUCAGUUUGAAACAAACACGACGAGCUGACACUGAUGAGCUGUUUAUUGUGGAAGCCAUGGAGUCUCCAGUUCUUUACUUGCUCUGGAUUUUCAGGUGAAUUCUCUAAGCAUUCCAUUAAAAAUUCUGACUAUUUUUUCUUGCCCUGGGCAG